This is a long non-coding RNA of Suricata suricatta (meerkat), 479 nucleotides long. RefSeq lists it as uncharacterized. The transcript is spliced from 4 exons. Lineage: Eukaryota; Metazoa; Chordata; Mammalia; Carnivora; Herpestidae. The record is from RefSeq and is a predicted model, not a curated record.
GAGGAACUUGAAGGCCACCCGGACUCCCCCGUAUUCUCGGGGAGCAGCCUGGGCUUACGGCACGUGCUGCCCCCUCCCUGGCCAAUGAGCUGAAAGUUCCAGAAGUUGCAGAAGAAGCCAAGAGAAGGGAGUUGAUGAGUGCCUGCAGAGGAAGAGAGAAGGCCCCUCCCUUUGGAGAUAAAGAGACAGAGGAAGCAAAGCGAAGUAACUUGUUAAUAGAUGCUGGAACCUGGAACCCGGAACCGAGGACUUUCUAGCCGAUGGCGCCUGCCUCACCAUUUUGCCUCAGGAGGGCCGCUUCCUCCAAUUUCAGGGAGCGAGGGGCUCACCUCCCUGCAGCCGGACAGAAGAGCAGGGCAAUUGGGAUCGGGGACACGGACCCGCAGAGGAGAAGGCUCAGUGAAGACAGAGGCAGAGACUGGAACGAUUCGUCUACAAGCCAAGGGACACCAAGGAUGACCGGCCACCACCAGAGGCCG